Long non-coding RNA from Bos taurus (domestic cattle), 577 nucleotides. NCBI's taxonomy places the organism in Eukaryota, Metazoa, Chordata, Mammalia, Artiodactyla, Bovidae. The record is from Ensembl.
UUCAUAUUUAAGAGUAAGAGUCAAAAAGAAGGUUGAGAACAUUGUGUACUGGAAUAAGGUUCUUGUUUUGUUUUGUUAGGUCUAUCAGGCAGGAAGGCAGCUAUUACCAUUAGGAGUCCAUCAAAAGCCAGAAUGUGGAGGUCUUUCAAGGGGAAGCCUCAAGUUUCACCUCCCUCUUGCCAUUCUGAAGUCUCCAAUUCCUAAGCCCUGGAGGAAUCCCACAGGGCGCACCAUCUCCCCCUCCCUUUGAUCCAGAUUCCCCCGGGCUGAAUAAUGCCACCAGGAACACAGAAGAACAGAUACUUCUUUGAGAGAAUGAUUUCCUUUCCUUGGGCUACAUACCUAGAAGUGGAAUUGCUGAAUCAUAUGACACGCCGAGAAAAGGCCACUUGAGGUCACAGUAGGAAGGUGUCCAUCUGCAAGCCAGGAAGAGAGACCCCACGAGAAACAGAACAUGGCUUUGGACUUCUGGCCUCUAGAACUGUGAGCAAACAAAUGUCUGUAGUUUAAGCCACCCGGCCUGGUAUUUUGUUAAUGUCGACCCGAGCAGACCAAGACAUCUGGAGACACAUGGAGC